GUAAUAUAUCGGAACGUACCGAGUAAUGGGGGAUAACUAAUCGAAAGAUUAGCUAAUACCGCAUAUUCUCUGAGGAGGAAAGCAGGGGACCUUCGGGCCUUGCGUUAUUCGAGCGGCCGAUAUCUGAUUAGCUAGUUGGUGGGGUAAAGGCCUACCAAGGCGACGAUCAGUAGCGGGUCUGAGAGGAUGAUCCGCCACACUGGGACUGAGACACGGCCCAGACUCCUACGGGAGGCAGCAGUGGGGAAUUUUGGACAAUGGGCGCAAGCCUGAUCCAGCCAUGCCGCGUGUCUGAAGAAGGCCUUCGGGUUGUAAAGGACUUUUGUCAGGGAAGAAAAGGCUGUUGCUAAUAUCGACAGCUGAUGACGGUACCUGAAGAAUAAGCACCGGCUAACUACGUGCCAGCAGCCGCGGUAAUACGUAGGGUGCGAGCGUUAAUCGGAAUUACUGGGCGUAAAGCGAGCGCAGACGGUUACUUAAGCAGGAUGUGAAAUCCCCGGGCUCAACCUGGGAACUGCGUUCUGAACUGGGUGACUAGAGUGUGUCAGAGGGAGGUAGAAUUCCACGUGUAGCAGUGAAAUGCGUAGAGAUGUGGAGGAAUACCGAUGGCGAAGGCAGCCUCCUGGGAUAACACUGACGUUCAUGCUCGAAAGCGUGGGUAGCAAACAGGAUUAGAUACCCUGGUAGUCCACGCCCUAAACGAUGUCAAUUAGCUGUUGGGCAACUUGAUUGCUUAGUAGCGUAGCUAACGCGUGAAAUUGACCGCCUGGGGAGUACGGUCGCAAGAUUAAAACUCAAAGGAAUUG
Molecule: ribosomal RNA, 806 nt
Filed under: Neisseria perflava
Lineage: Bacteria; Pseudomonadati; Pseudomonadota; Betaproteobacteria; Neisseriales; Neisseriaceae
Description: bacterial SSU rRNA
Rfam family: Bacterial small subunit ribosomal RNA
Source: RNAcentral